This 217-nucleotide unclassified non-coding RNA is filed under the name Hevea brasiliensis (rubber tree). Lineage: Eukaryota; Viridiplantae; Streptophyta; Magnoliopsida; Malpighiales; Euphorbiaceae. The record is from RNAcentral.
AUGAGCAUAGAGGGAAAUCAAGUUCUCCAAUAAAGAAUCCCCACAAACCGAUUUUUAACCUCCUACAGGAAAAUACUCAUUUCUGGAAUAUUCUCAACAUGUUCACUUGCUUGCAAAAUUUUACUAGAUAGCAAUAAAGGACCACAACAAAGCAGAUCCAUUUAAGAUUGCUCAAUCAAAUAAAGAUUAAAACAAAGAAAUUGAAGGAAACGCAAGG